Molecule: ribosomal RNA, 253 nt
Filed under: uncultured bacterium
Lineage: Bacteria
Description: partial 16S ribosomal RNA
Rfam family: Bacterial small subunit ribosomal RNA
Source: RNAcentral
UACAGAGGCCACAAGCGUUAAUCGGAAUCACUGGGCUUAAAGGGUGCGUAGGCGGUCCCGCAAGUGCUUUGUGAAAUCCCAUCGCUCAACGAUGGAAUGGCUCGGCAUACUGCGGGACUUGAGGUCGGUAGAGGUCGUCGGAACAGUAGGGGGAGCGGUGAAAUGCGUAGGUAUCUACUGGAACGCCAAAGGUGAAGACAGGCGACUGGGCCGAUUCUGACGCUGAGGCACGGAAGCGUGGGGAGGGAACGGG